GACGAACGCUGGCGGCGUGCUUAACACAUGCAAGUCGAACGGAAAGGCCCUGCUUUUGUGGGGUGCUUGAGUGGCGAACGGGUGAGUAACACGUGAGUAACUUGCCCUUGACUUUGGGAUAACUUCAGGAAACUGGGGCUAAUACCGGAUAGGAGCUCCUGCUGCAUGGUGGGGGUUGGAAAGUUUCGGCGGUUGGGGAUGGACUCGCGGCUUAUCAGCUUGUUGGUGGGGUAGUGGCUUACCAAGGCUUUGACGGGUAGCCGGCCUGAGAGGGUGACCGGCCACAUUGGGACUGAGAUACGGCCCAGACUCCUACGGGAGGCAGCAGUGGGGAAUAUUGCACAAUGGGCGGAAGCCUGAUGCAGCAACGCCGCGUGCGGGAUGACGGCCUUCGGGUUGUAAACCGCUUUCGCCUGUGACGAAGCGUGAGUGACGGUAAUGGGUAAAGAAGCACCGGCUAACUACGUG
Molecule: ribosomal RNA, 468 nt
Filed under: uncultured bacterium
Lineage: Bacteria
Description: partial 16S ribosomal RNA
Rfam family: Bacterial small subunit ribosomal RNA
Source: RNAcentral